This is a long non-coding RNA of Polypterus senegalus (gray bichir), 548 nucleotides long. RefSeq lists it as uncharacterized. The record is from RefSeq and is a predicted model, not a curated record. NCBI's taxonomy places the organism in Eukaryota, Metazoa, Chordata, Cladistia, Polypteriformes, Polypteridae. The transcript has 2 exons.
UGUCUCGAGUGUGAGCGAGUGGAACUGGUGGUGGACGCUGAGUUUCUCUGUCCACCACCAGCUGAUCAAAGCCCUGCGCAGCCACCUGUGAUGCUCGAAUGAGGUUUGGGUGUUCCCGCUGUCCCUGUGACCCACUCUGGGACAUAGCCUGGAAAUUAUGAGGAAUUACUUAAGGACCUCUAUGUUAGGUAGAAUGUCCAUGGGAGGCUGGGUGGUCUUUUGGCCUAAGAACCCCUGACGUUUUGUUUUUGUCUCCAUCUUCUCUGGAGAUUUUUUUUUUGUUUAUUUUUUCUGUCCUCUUUGCCAUCUGACCUUAUCAUCACACUCAUCUUUAGAGAUUUAGAAUACGAUAUUAUGUAUUAGACUUACUUGUCUAUUAACUAUGUUAUGUAACUUCAUAUUGAUUCAUCUUUUUUAUUAUGUACCCAUUAUUAUUCUUGCCUAAUUUAAGUUGUUUUUCUUCUUUUGUAAAUUUUUAUUUGACACUUUAAGCUACAUGCUGUGUACAAAAAUGUGCUGUAGGAAUAAAUGCUGUUGUUUUUGUGGUC